GUAUCUAUAGUAUAUUAUUACAUUAGCCUUUCACGUUAAAAAUACACCUGUGUGUUAGAUACA
This 63-nucleotide transfer RNA is filed under the name Tylorrhynchus heterochetus (Japanese palolo). RNAcentral describes it as "tRNA-Glu". The record is from RNAcentral. Lineage: Eukaryota; Metazoa; Annelida; Polychaeta; Phyllodocida; Nereididae.